RNAcentral lists this long non-coding RNA (375 nucleotides) under Physcomitrium patens. RNAcentral describes it as "long non-coding RNA (PPAT_LNC012465)". Lineage: Eukaryota; Viridiplantae; Streptophyta; Bryopsida; Funariales; Funariaceae. The record is from RNAcentral.
AGUGGAAUGACUAUUGUCAAAAGAUAAAAAAAUUAAAGAUUCUUGAAUCUAGACUAAAGUAAGAAAAGAAUUGACAAAAAUGAAGAAGGCCUCAUUCUUGCAUCUAUAUAUACUAUCCAUUUAAGAACUACAUGGCAACUUUCUACAAGACUUCUAACAUGUAUUAAUUUUGUAAGCCACAUGUCUUAACUUGUAAGACAAGUUUUUUAUGUGUAUACUAUAUAGAUAGGUUGUUCUACAAGCUAUCCUCACAUGACAUAUGGCUAAAUUAUUGACUAAGUUUCUAACCAAAAAAUCAAUUGUAAAUACAUGUAAAAUCAAAAUUGUGUGUGAAGCUUCUAAGAAGCUUUUUCAGAAGAUAUUAUGAAAUUAAUU